CCAUUCUCUAAAUACGUGCACGUCUGAC
This 28-nucleotide small RNA is filed under the name Bombyx mori (domestic silkworm). RNAcentral's name for it is "ovarian small RNA-13608". The record is from RNAcentral. Lineage: Eukaryota; Metazoa; Arthropoda; Insecta; Lepidoptera; Bombycidae.